RNAcentral lists this small RNA (118 nucleotides) under Marmota monax (woodchuck). Lineage: Eukaryota; Metazoa; Chordata; Mammalia; Rodentia; Sciuridae. The record is from RNAcentral.
GCUGGGUGUGGUGGUGCAUGCCUGUAGUCUCAGCUACUUGGAAGGUUGAGGUGUGAGGAUUAUUUGAGCCCCAAGAGUUUGAAGCCAGCCUGGGCAACACAGCAAGAUCCUGUCUCUA